AUGCCUUACACAUGCAAGUCGGACGGCAGCGCGGGCUUCGGCCUGGCGGCGAGUGGCGAACGGGUGAGUAAUACAUCGGAACAUGUCCAGUAGUGGGGGAUAGCCCGGCGAAAGCCGGAUUAAUACCGCAUACGCUCUGYGGAGGAAAGCGGGGGAUCGAAAGACCUCGCGCUAUUGGGGUGGCCGAUGGCGGAUUAGCUAGAUGGUGGGGUAAAGGCCUACCAUGGCGACGAUCCGUAGCUGGUCUGAGAGGACGACCAGCCACACUGGGACUGAGACACGGCCCAG
Molecule: ribosomal RNA, 288 nt
Filed under: diazotroph str. AB71
Lineage: Bacteria; Pseudomonadati; Pseudomonadota; Betaproteobacteria; Burkholderiales
Description: partial 16S ribosomal RNA
Rfam family: Bacterial small subunit ribosomal RNA
Source: RNAcentral